CCUACGGGGGGCAGCAGUGAGGAAUAUUGGUCAAUGGACGAGAGUCUGAACCAGCCAAGUAGCGUGAAGGAUGACUGCCCUAUGGGUUGUAAACUUCUUUUAUAUGGGAAUAAAACAGGGUAUGCAUACCCUCUUGUAUGUACCAUAUGAAUAAGGAUCGGCUAACUCCGUGCCAGCAGCCGCGGUAAUACGGAGGAUCCGAUCGUUAUCCGGAUUUAUUGGGUUUAAAGGGAGCGUAGAUGGGUUGUUAAGUCAGUUGUGAAAGGUUGCGGCUCAACCGUGAAAUUGCAAUUGAUACUGGCAGGCUUGAGUACAGUUGAGGUAGGCGGAAUUCGUGGUGUAGCGGUGAAAUGCUUAGAUAUCACGAAGAACCCCGAUUGCGAAGGCAGCUUACUAAACUGUGACUGACAUUGAUGCUCGAAAGUGUGGGUAUCAAACAGGAUUAGAUACCCCUGUAGUC
This 460-nucleotide ribosomal RNA is filed under the name uncultured bacterium. Its description in RNAcentral is "partial 16S ribosomal RNA". It matches the Rfam family "Bacterial small subunit ribosomal RNA", at positions 338 to 795 of the family's 1533-position model. The record is from RNAcentral.